CUGUGUCCAUGUCCCGGCUCCAAGCUGUCAGCUGGCAAGUGGCGGAGGCUGUGAGGUGACCACAACGGACCGAGGGCCACCAGGCAGGACCUGUACGGCCGAGGACCCUGGGUAAGCCAAGGUUCCCGUACUGGAGUUGAAGGCGAGGAGAGCAGGGGCCACGAGCCAAUGGGAAGGCAUGACUGUGAGCGCACCAAUAAGGAGGAGCUGGCGAUGGGGCGGGGGCCUUUGGAAGGGAGGCGGGGCCUGUCCGAGAUGCCGGCCGGAGGGGGAACCCUAGAAGAGCGAGGAGCGUAUUCCGGGUUCCCCACUUCCCCAGCCCCAGUACCUCAGGAUCUAAGCCUCCAUCCUUCUAUCCCCACUGCCCUGCAGAGUCCUGGAGAAGCAGAAACAGCCAAUUCGGACCAAGGCCGGGCGUGGAGGCCUGGGAAGGAGUGGGCGGCCAGGAACCUUCCUCCCUGCUGUUGGCACCUACUCAACCCCAGGGCUGUGGAUGGCUGUGGAAGCCUCUGUUGAGCACCUCCUCCCCAGAACCGGCCUAGCCCAACUGUGUAUGGAGGCCUCCUCAGACAGUGGAAGAACAUAUCUCCGGAGUCUGAGGGUCAGGAUGUGGGCGGCAGGCUGUAGGGAAGGACCAGACCUCGCACCCUCUGCCACCCCCAUUUUCUCCAAUAGCUUCCAGAGGCUUGCUGAUGGCUGUCAGGCCUGCCUGGGCAGCAGGAACCCCUACAGGGAGAGUGGGGGCAACCCAGGCUAUAGGACUGCAGACUCUGGCCAUUCUAGAUCAGCCCUGGGCCAGGCCUGACUUCAGGCUGGAAUCCCUUAGCUCCCCCAAUUUCUGGUCCAGAGUGGAUUCACCUGCCACAGGAGAAAUGCCAACUGCUUUGCCUUGGGGGAAAUGGGGGUGCUGCUGGGACUUGGCUUGUGGAGCUAGCCCUCCCUGAAAGAAGUUAGCGCUCUUACAAAAGGGAACACAGGCGCACCCUAGCAAAACACAGCGACGUGCCCCUUGGGCUGCUACUCCCAGCUCUGGCCCUGAGUUUGGCCCAACCGAGUAGCGGCAGUUCUGAGAAGACACCCCCAGAUGUCCCAAGCACUUCCUGCGGCGCAGGCCCAGCCCUGGAUACAUAAACCCAACACUCCAGCUUC
RNA transcript from Hipposideros armiger (great roundleaf bat), 1149 nucleotides. RefSeq lists it as uncharacterized. The record is from RefSeq and is a predicted model, not a curated record. The transcript has 3 exons. Lineage: Eukaryota; Metazoa; Chordata; Mammalia; Chiroptera; Hipposideridae.